This 540-nucleotide ribosomal RNA is filed under the name uncultured Geobacteraceae bacterium. RNAcentral describes it as "bacterial SSU rRNA". It matches the Rfam family "Bacterial small subunit ribosomal RNA", at positions 9 to 526 of the family's 1533-position model. The record is from RNAcentral. Lineage: Bacteria; Pseudomonadati; Thermodesulfobacteriota; Desulfuromonadia; Geobacterales; Geobacteraceae.
GAGUUUGAUCCUGGCUCAGAACGAACGCUGGCGGCGUGCCUAACACAUGCAAGUCGAACGUGAUCCAGAGCUUGCUCUGGUGAAAGUGGCGCACGGGUGAGUAACGCGUGGAUAACCUACCCUGGUAUCCGGGAUAACAUUCCGAAAGGGGUGCUAAUACCGGAUAAGCCCACGGGCUCUUUGGAGCUUGCGGGAAAAGGUGGCCUCUAUUUAUAAGCUACUGUAUCAGGAUGGGUCCGCGUACCAUUAGCUAGUUGGCGGUGUAACGGACCACCAAGGCGACGAUGGUUAGCUGGUCUGAGAGGAUGAUCAGCCACACUGGAACUGAGACACGGUCCAGACUCCUACGGGAGGCAGCAGUGGGGAAUUUUGCGCAAUGGGGGAAACCCUGACGCAGCAACGCCGCGUGAGUGAUGAAGGCCUUUGGGUCGUAAAGCUCCGUCAGAGGGGAAGAAAUGAUAUAGUGCUAAUACCACUUUAUCUUGACGGUACCCUCAAAGGAAGCACCGGCUAACUCCGUGCCAGCAGCCGCGGUAAUAC